RNAcentral lists this ribosomal RNA (411 nucleotides) under uncultured bacterium. RNAcentral describes it as "bacterial SSU rRNA". It matches the Rfam family "Bacterial small subunit ribosomal RNA", at positions 355 to 775 of the family's 1533-position model. The record is from RNAcentral.
UCGAGAAUCUUCGGCAAUGGGCGCAAGCCUGACCGAGCGACGCCGCGUGGAGGACGAAGGCCUUCGGGUUGUAAACUCCUGUCGAGGGGGAGGAAGCCGCGAGGUUGACCGAUCCCUGGAGGAAGCACGGGCUAAGUUCGUGCCAGCAGCCGCGGUAAGACGAACCGUGCGAACGUUAUUCGGAAUCACUGGGCUUAAAGCGCGUGUAGGCGGGCCGCCGCGUCGGCUGCUGAAAUCCCCCGGCUCAACCGGGGAAGGGGCACCGAUACGGGCGGCCUCGAGGGGGGUAGGGGGGUCUGGAACUUCCGGUGGAGCGGUGAAAUGCGUUGAGAUCGGAAGGAACGCCCGUGGCGAAAGCGAGGCCCUGGACCCUUACUGACGCUGAGACGCGAAAGCCAGGGGAGCGAACGG